GCAAUGGUUGUCCAGUGGUAGAAUUCUUGCCUUCCAUGCUUGAGACCUGGGUUCAAGUCCCAACCAAAGUG
RNAcentral lists this transfer RNA (71 nucleotides) under Loxodonta africana (African savanna elephant). It matches the Rfam family "tRNA". Rfam says of the family: Transfer RNA (tRNA) molecules are approximately 80 nucleotides in length. Lineage: Eukaryota; Metazoa; Chordata; Mammalia; Proboscidea; Elephantidae. The record is from Rfam by way of RNAcentral.